AUGAUUUUGCAAGCAGCUCUGUUAGGAUCAUACCUCUUUAUCCUCGAACACCAGGGAGGCAGGGACCUAAACCUGGUUGAUGAGCCAUGACCGUGUGAUCAUAUCGUGAGUAAUGGGUGGAUGAUCCUUGUGAUCAUAUUUGCUGUAGAGGAUCGUUCCCUCAGCCCUUGAUUUGGCUUGGGGAUGAUCGUGCGGUGAUCUGACAGGCA
Non-coding RNA from Populus trichocarpa (black cottonwood), 209 nucleotides. The record is from Rfam. Lineage: Eukaryota; Viridiplantae; Streptophyta; Magnoliopsida; Malpighiales; Salicaceae.